This 434-nucleotide ribosomal RNA is filed under the name uncultured bacterium. Its description in RNAcentral is "partial 16S ribosomal RNA". It matches the Rfam family "Bacterial small subunit ribosomal RNA", at positions 29 to 507 of the family's 1533-position model. The record is from RNAcentral.
AGCGAACGCUGGCGGCAGGCCUAACACAUGCAAGUCGAACGAACCUUUCGGGGUUAGUGGCGGACGGGUGAGUAACAUGUGGGAACGUUCCUUUAGGCUCGGAAUAACUCAUUUAAACUUGUGCUAAUACCGAAUGUGCCCUUCGGGGGAAAGAUUUAUCGCCUUUAGAGAGGCCCGCGUUUGAUUAGCUAGUUGGUUGAGGUAAUGGCUCACCAAGGCUACCUUCAGUAGAUGGUCAGAGAGAAUGAGCAGCCACAUUGGGACUGAGACACGGCCCAAAAUACUACGGGAGGCAGGAGUGGGGAAUCUUGCGCAAUGGGGGAAAGGCUGAAGCAGCCAUGCCGCGUGAAUGAUGAAGGUCUUAGGAUAGUAAAAUUCUUUCACCGGGGACGAUAAUGACGGUACCCGAAGAAGAAGCCCCGGCUAACUUCGUG